Thamnophis elegans (Western terrestrial garter snake) is the source of this 1049-nucleotide long non-coding RNA. RefSeq lists it as uncharacterized. Lineage: Eukaryota; Metazoa; Chordata; Lepidosauria; Squamata; Natricidae. The transcript is spliced from 2 exons. The record is from RefSeq and is a predicted model, not a curated record.
CCCGCCGCCUGCGUGAGGGGCGAGUCCGCGCCGCGCUUCUUUCCCCCCCACCCUCAGCGCGACGUCCCGGCUGAGGGGCACCUCGCUUCUCCAAACAAGGUGCUCUAGAAAACUGAUGGCGUUACCUAGUUGGGUCGCGAAACGUCUGCAAGAAAACAACUCGGAGAACACCAAGGAUCUCACAGUUCAACCCUGAGCGACAAAUAUUGCAUGCGUGCCAACCUGCCGCUUGUGUAAGCUGCGUGUGCGUUCCGGUUCCCCCCACCCCCCCACCCACCCCAGCCAGGUUCCCAAGCCAAAAAGGUUGGAGACCACCGCACUAGACCAAACCGGUUCUAAUCUCCUAGACCUAGAAGACAGCAGUUCUGCUACAUAAAUUUUGCAUCUGGAUGAAAAACUCCAGCUGUUUAUGGAGCUUCUCCAUCACCCAUGUCAUGGUUGUCCCAAAGGUGCUUUUUUCAAGAGGCAACUGGACUUUCUGUUUUUUUUCUUUGAAGACAUUUCUCUUCUCAUCCAGGAAGCUUCUUCACCUCUGACUCCGGAAUCCGCUCCAGCUGACUCGAACUGCCUGUACAAUUUUGAUCCUGCAUCCUUGAGGGUUGGACUACAAGACCUCCGAGGUCCCUUCCAACUCUUUGUUAUUCUAUGUUCUCUAUUCCUUGUUGAACAAGAUUUUGUGUUAAUGUGUCAUGUCCUUAUAAACUUCGCUACAGCAUUUAAUAGGUUUGACUCUUAAGGAUUUCAGCCUCGGGUGCCCAUUCUGUAAAUCAUUUCCUGUGACUUAAGUGCCACGGGGCAUAGCACGCCUGAAUGAAUAUCAGGAAGAGAAAUCGGUCUAAUUAUGGGUUUUGUACGGUUAUCAUAUUUCAUCAUACAGGAGUUAGGUUUAUGAGUUACGAAUAGAUUUAAAAAUGGUAAAAGCUUAACGAUUUCCACUAUUUAAAAAAAUAUUUUUGGCACUGUAUACAUGUGGACAGAUUUGUGGUAGCAAAUCUGGCAAAAAAUAAAUAAAUAAAAUAAAUCACGCGAGUAGAACAAUUCUGAGAAAA